Molecule: ribosomal RNA, 257 nt
Filed under: uncultured bacterium
Lineage: Bacteria
Description: partial 16S ribosomal RNA
Rfam family: Bacterial small subunit ribosomal RNA
Source: RNAcentral
UACGUAGGUGGCAAGCGUUUUGUCCGGAUUUAUUGGGUUUUAAAGGGUGCGUAGGCGGUUUCAUAAGUCAGUGGUGAAAUCCGGCAGCUCAACUGUCGAUGUGCCAUUGAUACUGCAGAACUUGAGUACAGACGAGGUAGGCGGAAUUGACGGUGUAGCGGUGAAAUGCUUAGAUAUCGUCAAGAACACCGAUAGCGAAGGCAGCUUACUAGACUGUAAACUGACGCUGAUGCACGAAAGUGUGGGGAUCAAACAGG